Molecule: ribosomal RNA, 1776 nt
Filed under: Blastocystis sp.
Lineage: Eukaryota; Bigyra; Opalinata; Blastocystidae
Description: SSU rRNA
Rfam family: Eukaryotic small subunit ribosomal RNA
Source: RNAcentral
ACCUGGUUGAUCCUGCCAGUAGUCAUACGCUCGUCUCAAAGAUUAAGCCAUGCAUGUGUAAGUAGAAAAAGAUUUGCUUUAAAACUGCGAAUGGCUCAUUAUAUCAGUUAUAGUUCAUUUGAUGGAGAGUGGCUCUAUUGGAUAACCGUAGUAAUUCUAGGGCUAAUACAUGGAAAUGUCCACGUUGUGUGGUAUGUUUAUUGGAAUCGGAAACCAUUUGCUCUUUUGAGUAAGUUUGUGAGUAAGAAUAACCUGUUGGAUCGUAUGCCUGGUUGGUAACGAUGAAUCUUUCAAGUUUCUGCCCUAUCAGCUUUCGAUGGUAGUGUAUUGGACUACCAUGGCAGUAACGGGUAACGAAGAAUUUGGGUUCGAUUUCGGAGAGGGAGCCUGAGAGAUGGCUACCACAUCCAAGGAAGGCAGCAGGCGCGUAAAUUACCCAAUCCUGAUACAGGGAGGUAGUGACAAUAAAUCCCAAUGUAGGACCGUUGGUUUUACAAUUGGAUUGAGAACAACUUAAAAUCGUUAUCGAUGAACAAUUGGAGGGCAAGUCUGGUGCCAGCAGCCGCGGUAAUUCCAGCUCCAAUAGCGUAUAUUAACAUUGUUGCAGUUAAAAAGCUCGUAGUUGAAUGGAGACCGUUGCCGGUUUACUUGGAAGUAAAGGGCGAGGGUGUUUGCAGAGUCUCUUCGAAUAUUUAUUUAUUGUUGUAGGCUGUGCAGUUUUACUGUGAGAAAAGUAGAGUGUUCAAAGCAGGCGUUUGUUUGAAUACAUUAGCAUGGAAUAAUGAGUUUGCAUGUUUGUAAAUUUGUUUGGUUUGUUUACAAGGAUGUUGUUUAAUAGGGACAGUUGGGGGUAUUCAUAUUCAAUAGUUAGAGGUGAAAUUCUCGGAUUUAUGGAAGAUGAACGAAUGCGAAAGCAUUUACCAAGGAUGUUUUCAUUAAUCAAGAACGAAAGCUAGGGGAUCGAAGAGGAUUAGAUACCCUCGUAGUCUUAGCUGUAAACGCUACCGACUAGAGAUUAGUAGAAUUCUUGAAGGUUUCUAUUAGGAUCUUAUGAGAAAUCAAAGUCUUUGGGUUCCGGGGGGAGUAUGGUCGCAAGGCUGAAACUUAAAGGAAUUGACGGAAGGGCACCACCAGGAGUGGAGCCUGCGGCUUAAUUUGACUCAACACGGGGAAACUUACCAGGUCCAGACAUAGGAAGGAUUGACAGAUUGAUAGCUCUUUCUUGAUUCUAUGGGUGGUGGUGCAUGGCCGUUCUUAGUUGGUGGAGUGAUUUGUCUGGUUAAUUCCGAUAACGAACGAGACCUUCGCUUGUUAAUUAGUGAUUGGGUUCGUGAACCAAUUGACUUCUUAAAGGGACGCUAACCUUUCAAGGUUGGGGGAAGCUGGAGGCAAUAACAGGUCUGUGAUGCCCUUAGAUGUUCUGGGCUGCACGCGCGCGACACUGAUCUAUUCAAAGAGCAUGCCGUUUGGCUUUGGCUGGGUCGACAGACUUGGCGAAUCUUUUGAAAAUAGAUCGUGCUGGGGAUUGAUGCUUGUAAUUGUUCGUCAUGAACGAGGAAUUCCUAGUAAAUGUAAGUCAUCAACUUACGUUGAUUACGUCCCUGCCCUUUGUACACACCGCCCGUCGCACCUACCGAUUGAAUGAUCCGGUGAACACUUUGGAUUGAGCGGGUUGGCAGUCGCUGCCGCCCGUUUCGAGAAGUUGUGUAAAUCUUAUCAUUUAGAGGAAGGUGAAGUCGUAACAAGGUUUCCGUAGGUGAACCUGCAGAAGGAUCA